GGAAACGGCUGCUAAUACCCGAUGUGCCGAAAGGUGAAACGAAAUUCGCCAGAAGAAGAGCUCGCGUCCGAUUAGCCAGUUGGUGUGGUAAAAGCGCACCAAAGCGACGAUCGGUAGCUGGUCUGAGAGGACGAGCAGCCACACUGGGACUGAGACACGGCCCAGACUCCUACGGGAGGCAGCAGUGGGGAAUUUUCCGCAAUGGGCGAAAGCCUGACGGAGCAACGCCGCGUGGGGGAAGAAUGCCCUUGGGUUGUAAACCCCUUUUCUCAAGGAAGAAGUUCUGACGGUACUUGAGGAAUCAGCCUCGGCUAACUCCGUGCCAGCAGCCGCGGUAAUACGGAGGAGGCAAGCGUUAUCCGGAAUGAUUGGGCGUAAAGCGUUCGUAGGCGGCACUUCAAGUCUGCGGUCAAAGUCCAGGGCUCAACCCUGGGAAGGCCGUGGAAACUGAAGCGCUAGAGUACGGUAGGGGUAGAGGGAAUUCCCGGUGUAGCGGUGAAAUGCGUAGAGAUCGGGAAGAACACCGGUGGCGAAAGCGCUCUGCUGGGCCGCAACUGACACUCAGGGACGAAAGCUAGGGGAGCGAAUGGGAUUAGAUACCC
RNAcentral lists this ribosomal RNA (602 nucleotides) under uncultured Oscillatoriales cyanobacterium. Its description in RNAcentral is "bacterial SSU rRNA". It matches the Rfam family "Bacterial small subunit ribosomal RNA", at positions 152 to 787 of the family's 1533-position model. The record is from RNAcentral. Lineage: Bacteria; Bacillati; Cyanobacteriota; Cyanophyceae; Oscillatoriales.